GCUCGAAUCUACCAUCACUGGCCUGUGGAGUAGACCCGUCCUUCUCGCACCUUCUCUUUUAGCGCUGGUGCGAGAAGGACGGGUCUAUGCGUACGACAAGUCUGUCGGACGUUCCGAUUGGCUCACGAUGACACAUAAGUGGGGUGUUUCCGUCGGAGAGUUACUAGAUUUCUUGUCGGAAAAAAGUUGGGCAAAGACGAACAUUUUACGACAGUCAUAACAGUUCUAACCUACAAUUGGUGGCUAAAUUGCUGUGAUUGCUGUGAUUUUAAGGAGACAUUGAAGAGCUUCUUAUAUCUUACGUAAGAGAACGAAGAGAAUUAUGGGAUCACACAUUGCCAAUUAGAAAAAAAUCUCGAGAUAUAAGCGUAUUUUACAUGGAUUGUUUAAUACGCAUAUUAAAUAGUAAAUAACUAGUGCAUCCGUUUAGUCAGUAGCCUAGUUUACACCGAUCGUUUGAUACGCGUAUCAAAUAGUACAUUUGAGCUAAUCAGCUAAUGACUAAACGGAUGCACUAGUUACUUACUAUUUAAUACGCGUAUUAAACAAUCGGUGUAAAAUACGCUAUUGGCUGAUUAGCUCAAAUGUACUAUUUGAUACGCGUAUCAAACAAUCGGUGUAAACUAGGCUAUAAUCGCAACGCACUGGCAGGAAAUCUCAAAACAAUUAAAUGGAAAUCUAACGCCAAAUGCUGCUUGCAAGAAAUGGCGAUACCUCAAGGAUUCAUAUAUACGUAUUCGCAAUGAUUUCACGAAGAAAAAAAGUGGUUCAGCUGCUAGUAAACCUAUCAAAUGGAAA
This 798-nucleotide long non-coding RNA is filed under the name Ooceraea biroi (clonal raider ant). RNAcentral describes it as "uncharacterized LOC105279092, transcript variant X2". The record is from RNAcentral. Lineage: Eukaryota; Metazoa; Arthropoda; Insecta; Hymenoptera; Formicidae.